GCCCGGAUGGUGGAAUGGUAGACACGAAGGACUUAAAAUCCUUUGGCUUCACGGCUGUGCGGGUUCAAGUCCCGCUUCGGGUACAA
RNAcentral lists this transfer RNA (86 nucleotides) under Bacteroidia bacterium. Its description in RNAcentral is "tRNA-Leu". It matches the Rfam family "tRNA". Rfam says of the family: Transfer RNA (tRNA) molecules are approximately 80 nucleotides in length. The record is from RNAcentral. Lineage: Bacteria; Pseudomonadati; Bacteroidota; Bacteroidia.